CCACCUCUAGAGGACUCUUCCAAACAUGGAAGUGUCGCUCGCACGUCCCGCCUUCCUGCUUCGUGUUGAAUCUCUCUUCUCUUUCACUUCAUCACGCGCUCACACAGACAGAUUAACCUGAUAGAGAGAGAGAGAGAGAGAGAUGCACAGCAGUUGGUUCUCUGUGUUUUGUUCUUCAUUUGUAUUGGCAAUGCCGCUGCGCUCGGGCUUCAUUUUCUUGAUGGGUUUUCUUUUUGGUUGUUUUCGUGAGGAAAGCUUUUGCCCUUUUGAAGCAGAAAUUUGGUCAGCCUUUUAAAGUUCCUCGUGUUUGGUUCAUGUCAUUUGGGGAGGUGUUAGGAAAAGAAAGGGACGAGGUAAACAGUUGAUCGGUCUAAAACAAUGCCCUGAACCAAGGGCUUGCAGCUGAACUGUUUGAUCAAAUGUCUCAAUCACGUAACAUUCCGGUUGUUACAACUAUCGUAGUAUGCUAAGCAGCGAAUGCUAGGUUGCUUGAUUUAUUCCACGAUCAAGGAUAAAGACGGGCCUUCCUAUGUGAUGCAUAUCUUUUAGUGUUGGAGAUAGGGCUUCCAAGGAGGGUAAAGAGGCUCUGCGUCAGGUCGAUCCUUUUGCAAGCUUGACUUACCAAUAAGCCAAGACCUCUGGAGCCGUUACUAGUGCAGAUUGUGGAGCAAUAAAGAUGAUAUUUCCUGCAGGAGAUGACGAUGCAUUGGUUGUAGCAAAAGCUCAAGCCGUGGUGUCGCUACACCAGAAAGAAGCAGAGUUACUGAGUCCCAUAGCCAAGGUUCCUAAAGAAAGAACAAGCUUAAAUACUCAGAAAAGGAAAAGCAUCAUAAAACCGUGUUCUUCGUCGGUCUCAAUCGCCAGAAAUCUGCCGUGGCCGUCGAUUUCCGCCACUCCCACUGCCCGCGCCGAAACUCCUCUUUUCUGCCCUGUUUUCUGGUGGGAAGUUUGAAGUACUCCGUUCCAUUCGGAGCUCCUUGGCCGGUGCCCAUCUUCAUUGCUGACACGUCUAGGACCUCCAUUCUCCGAUCUGCUCAGCGGAUGAGGCUAGAAAUCCAAAUCACCAUGGUAAUUUCCAUUCGCUCUGUUUCUAUCGCUUACGAAGGAAACAGAGGCCUUGAGCUCUAUUUGAUGAUUGAGAGAAAGAUUCUCGUCGUUCUGUA
Long non-coding RNA from Eucalyptus grandis, 1163 nucleotides. RefSeq lists it as uncharacterized. The record is from RefSeq and is a predicted model, not a curated record. The transcript is spliced from 4 exons. NCBI's taxonomy places the organism in Eukaryota, Viridiplantae, Streptophyta, Magnoliopsida, Myrtales, Myrtaceae.